RNAcentral lists this transfer RNA (84 nucleotides) under Spiroplasma mirum ATCC 29335. It matches the Rfam family "tRNA". Rfam says of the family: Transfer RNA (tRNA) molecules are approximately 80 nucleotides in length. Their secondary structure includes four short double-helical elements and three loops (D, anti-codon, and T loops). Lineage: Bacteria; Bacillati; Mycoplasmatota; Mollicutes; Entomoplasmatales; Spiroplasmataceae. The record is from Rfam by way of RNAcentral.
GCCCGAGUGGCGGAAUAGGUAGACGCAACGGACUUAAAAUCCGUCAGUCUCGCAACUGUGCCGGUUCAAGUCCGGCCUCGGGUA